Molecule: ribosomal RNA, 422 nt
Filed under: uncultured archaeon
Lineage: Archaea
Description: partial 16S ribosomal RNA
Rfam family: Archaeal small subunit ribosomal RNA
Source: RNAcentral
CCUACGGGCGCAGCAGGCGAGAAAACUUUGCAAUGUGCGAAAGCACGACAAGGUUAAUCCGAGUGGUUUGUGCUAAACGAACCUUUUGACAGUCCUAGAAACACUGUUGAAUAAGGGGUGGGCAAGUUCUGGUGUCAGCCGCCGCGGUAAAACCAGCACCUCAAGUGGUCAGGAUGAUUAUUGGGCCUAAAGCAUCCGUAGCCGGCUCUGUAAGUUUUCGGUUAAAUCUGUACGCUCAACGUACAGGCUGCCGGGAAUACUGCAGAGCUAGGGAGUGGGAGAGGUAGACGGUACUCGGUAGGAAGGGGUAAAAUCCUUUGAUCUAUUGAUGACCACCUGUGGCGAAGGCGGUCUACCAGAACACGUCCGACGGUGAGGGAUGAAAGCUGGGGGAGCAAACCGGAUUAGAUACCCUAGUAGUC